UAGGGAAUCUUCGGCAAUGGACGAAAGUCUGACCGAGCAACGCCGCGUGAGUGAAGAAGGUUUUCGGAUCGUAAAACUCUGUUGUUAGAGAAGAACAAGGACGUUAGUAACUGAACGUCCCCUGACGGUAUCUAACCAGAAAGCCACGGCUAACUACGUGCCAGCAGCCGCGGUAAUACGUAGGUGGCAAGCGUUGUCCGGAUUUAUUGGGCGUAAAGCGAGCGCAGGCGGUUUCUUAAGUCUGAUGUGAAAGCCCCCGGCUCAACCGGGGAGGGUCAUUGGAAACUGGGGGACUUGAGUGCAGAAGAGGAGAGUGGAAUUCCAUGUGUAGCGGUGAAAUGCGUAGAUAUAUGGAGGAACACCAGUGGCGAAGGCGGCUCUCUGGACGAAGGCUGACGCUCAGGUGCGAAAGCGUGGGGAGCAAACAGG
This 429-nucleotide ribosomal RNA is filed under the name Chloroflexota bacterium. RNAcentral's name for it is "Chloroflexi bacterium partial 16S ribosomal RNA". It matches the Rfam family "Bacterial small subunit ribosomal RNA", at positions 355 to 776 of the family's 1533-position model. The record is from RNAcentral. Lineage: Bacteria; Bacillati; Chloroflexota.